Molecule: ribosomal RNA, 500 nt
Filed under: Bos taurus (domestic cattle)
Lineage: Eukaryota; Metazoa; Chordata; Mammalia; Artiodactyla; Bovidae
Description: partial 12S ribosomal RNA
Source: RNAcentral
CGGCGGGGGCGCAGCAACAGACAGGCAGAGGCUCCGUCACUCUCUGACACCCGCCCCGUCACCCCUCACACACCGCCCGUCACCCUCACACACCGCCCGUCACCCUCACACACCGCCCGUCAGCCUCACACACCGCCCGUCACCCUCACACACCGCCCGUCACGCUCACACACCGCCCUGAUCACCCUCAUCCUCCGCCCGUCCCCCUCAGGAACCGCCGUGUCCCUUCAUAUGAUGCCUGACAACGUUAGGUCAAGGUGUUACCUAUGAAAUGGGAAGAAAUGGGCUACAUUCUCUACACUAAGAGAAUCAAGCACGAAAGUUAUUAUGAAACCAGUAACCAAAGGAGGAUUUAGCAGUAAACUAAGAAUAGAGUGCUUAGUUGAAUUAGGCCAUGAAGCACGCACACACCGCCGGUCACCCUCACACACAGACCGUCAGUCUCACACACAGACCGCCUGUCACCCUCACACACCGCCUGUCACCCUCACACAGGGCCU